GGAGUUGUAGAUUGGUGGUAGAGUGCUCACCUAGCAUGUGUGAGGCCCUGGGUUCAAUCCUCAGCAACACAU
This 72-nucleotide transfer RNA is filed under the name Marmota monax (woodchuck). Its description in RNAcentral is "tRNA.Ala". The record is from RNAcentral. Lineage: Eukaryota; Metazoa; Chordata; Mammalia; Rodentia; Sciuridae.